ACUUUUAAAGGAAAAUAGUUAUCCGAUGGCCCUAGGAACCAGCAUUCU
Molecule: transfer RNA, 48 nt
Filed under: Brookesia thieli (Domergue's leaf chameleon)
Lineage: Eukaryota; Metazoa; Chordata; Lepidosauria; Squamata; Chamaeleonidae
Description: partial tRNA-Leu
Source: RNAcentral